RNAcentral lists this long non-coding RNA (413 nucleotides) under Capsicum annuum. RNAcentral's name for it is "long non-coding RNA (CANN_LNC009003)". The record is from RNAcentral. Lineage: Eukaryota; Viridiplantae; Streptophyta; Magnoliopsida; Solanales; Solanaceae.
CGCAGGUUUGUCGAAUCUAGACAUAACUUGUUUCAUGCUAAAAGGCUGAAUAAUGGGUUUGGGGGUUUUCUCUUCGUGAGAAAACAUUAAUCGUUUGAGUUCUAGAAGAUAUUUAUUUCUAGCCUCAUCAUCCUGGAUGUGUUCUAUAAUGUCAAACAGAAUUUCUUUAGGAUUUCCUGAAAUGACAUUAACAGUUUUUCUGGUGCAAGAGCAGAAUGUACCGGUACAAGCGCAUUCUUGGCCAGAUUGGGAUUGAUCCGUCUCAUAAGCGGCGUUGAUGUAUUCUUCAUCGCUGUAGUCAUCACUGGACAAGGCAUAGGAGUCAGAAGACUUAGAAGACUCAGGUGAAUCUUCCAUUAUAGAGAAUAAAUUUGUUCUGGUUUCUUCAGAGAGAUCUAAUUGGUUUAUAUUCU